RNAcentral lists this transfer RNA (71 nucleotides) under Felis catus (domestic cat). It matches the Rfam family "tRNA". From Rfam's summary of the family: Transfer RNA (tRNA) molecules are approximately 80 nucleotides in length. Their secondary structure includes four short double-helical elements and three loops (D, anti-codon, and T loops). Lineage: Eukaryota; Metazoa; Chordata; Mammalia; Carnivora; Felidae. The record is from Rfam by way of RNAcentral.
GUCUGGCCAGCUUAGUUGGUGGAGCAUUCGACUUGAUCUCGAGAUUGUGGGUUCGAGCCCCACGUUGGGUG